UACGGAGGAUGCAAGCGUUAUCCGGAAUUAUUGGGCGUAAAGAGUCCGUAGGCGGCCCGGCAAGUCUGCUGUCAAAGAAUGGAGCUUAACUCCAUAAGGGCAGUGGAAACUGCAGAGCUAGAGUCUAGGAGGGGUAGAGGGAAUUCCCAGUGUAGCGGUGAAAUGCGUAGAGAUUGGGAAGAACACCGGUGGCGAAAGCGCUCUACUGGACUAGAACUGACGCUGAGGGACGAAAGCUAGGGU
This 243-nucleotide ribosomal RNA is filed under the name uncultured cyanobacterium. RNAcentral's name for it is "partial 16S ribosomal RNA". It matches the Rfam family "Bacterial small subunit ribosomal RNA", at positions 524 to 766 of the family's 1533-position model. The record is from RNAcentral. Lineage: Bacteria; Bacillati; Cyanobacteriota.